GCAUACCAAGUAUUAGAGGCACUGCCUGCCCAGUGACAUCUGUUCAACGGCCGCGGUAUCCUGACCGUGCAAAGGUAGCAUAAUCACUUGUUCCCUAAAUAGGGACUUGUAUGAACGGCCACACGAGGGUUUUACUGUCUCUUACUUCCAAUCAGUGAAAUUGACCUUCCCGUGAAGAGGCGGGAAUGCCUCAAUAAGACGAGAAGACCCUAUGGAGCUUCAAUUAACUAGCCCAACGAAGACAAACUUCAAUCCACCCGGACACAACCACUCUUCGCCUGAGCUAGCAAUUUAGGUUGGGGUGACCUCGGAGCAUAAAAAACCCUCCGAAUGAUAAAAGCCCAGACUAACAAGUCAAAGCACUAUAUCACUUAUUGAUCCAAAUUUUGAUCAACGGAACAAGUUACCCUAGGGAUAACAGCGCAAUCCUAUUUAAGAGUCCAUAUCGACAAUAGGGUUUACGACCUCGAUGUUGGAUCAGGACAUCCUAAUGGUGCAAAAGCUAUUAACGGUUCGUUUGUUCAACGAUUAAAGUCCU
This 538-nucleotide ribosomal RNA is filed under the name Hipposideros cervinus. RNAcentral's name for it is "partial 16S ribosomal RNA". It matches the Rfam family "Bacterial large subunit ribosomal RNA", at positions 1834 to 2597 of the family's 2925-position model. Lineage: Eukaryota; Metazoa; Chordata; Mammalia; Chiroptera; Hipposideridae. The record is from RNAcentral.